UCCUCCCAGACCCACUGCAUCAUUAGCAAAAUCCACCUCACACUUCCUGGUGAUCACCUCUUUGCCUACACCAGAUGUGACUCCACCUUGCCACAAACGACUUCACAACAUGUAAACUCUUUAUAGGCAUCUGCAACAGAGCAAAACAACAUGAAGCCAAUGCCACUCGACAGAUCCAAUGGAUAAUAAAUUUUAUACGUGCCUUUGUUAUUAUUUCAAUUCAUUGUCUUUUAUGAUAUUUCAUGAUAUAUAUCAUAAUUAUUGACAUUUUUGUUUGUUGUUUAGUUUUAUUCCCCAUACUACAACAACUUAGGCCAUAAUGGAUGUCAUUAAAUAGAUGUAUGUUAUGGCAUAGUCGAGUUACAGAAAAGAUACCUUGGGAGGUUAGAGACAAGUGGUUUGAGAAGUGGAAGGUAAAAUUAAACUUAAUCACAUUUUAAUUACAUUAUGAUCUUUAUUUUAGUUUUACUGGUUAUUAAUGAUCAAUGUUUUCUGUAUAAGAGACUUCAAUUUGGAUCACGAGCCCCACAUUUUUUCCAGAAGACAUUCAACUAUUGCAUGUGUCAACGUCUUCAGUAGAUGCUUAAGGAUGUCUGCCAAGGCAAGAAAGAGACCAUACAGUGGUUGCAUUGCGAUACUUGAGGCACUACUUUGAGACUAAUGCUAGCUUCAAGCGUUGCCAAACAACGAAUAUGGCAAAUAUGGCAUUGGCAAGAGGUGACUUGUUCCAUUGUAGAGACUUGGCAAUCAUCGUAUCCAUAAAAAGGAAGACAAAUAAUAAUUAGUUUUGAUUUUAUUGAUAUCAUCAUUGUAUUUAUACUUGUCUUCAUUUGUGCUUGACUAUAUGCUGACAAAAGGAGGAUGGAUCGCGAGCCGACUUACACUGAGGUGUUCAGGCAUCUCCACACUAGGAAGGAGAAGAAAGCUCUAUAAAUGGAUGAGCGAUCCAAGUGUUUAUAUGUGAGUCUCAAUCAUUUUAAUAGUUACUUUAAAUAAUAUUAAUUUCAACUGUGGUAACCAAAUCUCUUUUUUUAGUGCAUAUGACAAGUAUACAGAAAUCUUGGAGAUUCGACCCAGAAAUCCGAGUAGAGUGCAUAGGAAGGCGAUGGAUCAAUUAUUGCUACUAUGGUGGAUCCAAAUGUGCUAUGGCUAGAGAUGGUUAGACAACCAUACAAGAUCAUCAUUUAUGGACAUGGAUUUUUCUUACCAACACACUUUAAUAUGGUCCUCUAGUGGCAUCCUCCACAACUACAAAUGUAUCUUCGCCUUCUCAGAAGACCAUCACUGAAUUGCAUGAGCGGAUCCGCAGUCUCACACAAAGUUUAGAGGAUCAAGGUCGGUAAUACCACGAAGUUGAGGACUGCAUCUGUGACUUGCUCACUCGCUUUGAUGAGCGUGAGUCAUUGUUUAUAGAGGAUAAAUAAACCAUUUCAAAAACUUGUGCAGAAGUCUUGUGGAACUGAGAGGAAAUCCCAAAAUAAGGGAGGAGAUGACUGCAUACUAUGAGCAUAUGUGAGCCGGAUUGAGCUCUAUGGGCAGGGGGUUGUCAUCAACAACGAUGCCAUCAUACCAUCUACGUGGCCUUAUAGUACAUCUUAGUCGAUUGUUCAUUGCAUCAUUUAUUUCAUUUGAUAAUUUUUCAUAAUUGUAC
RNAcentral lists this long non-coding RNA (1651 nucleotides) under Arachis ipaensis. RNAcentral's name for it is "long non-coding RNA (AIPA_LNC001946)". The record is from RNAcentral. Lineage: Eukaryota; Viridiplantae; Streptophyta; Magnoliopsida; Fabales; Fabaceae.